This 253-nucleotide ribosomal RNA is filed under the name uncultured bacterium. Its description in RNAcentral is "partial 16S ribosomal RNA". It matches the Rfam family "Bacterial small subunit ribosomal RNA", at positions 524 to 776 of the family's 1533-position model. The record is from RNAcentral.
UACGGGGGGGGCAAGCGUUGUUCGGAAUUACUGGGCGUAAAGGGCGCGUAGGCGGAUGUGUCAGUCAGGGGUGAAAUCCUGGAGCUCAACUCCAGAACUGCCUUUGAUACUGAAGAUCUUGAGUUCGGGAGAGGUGAGUGGAACUGCGAGUGUAGAGGUGAAAUUCGUAGAUAUUCGCAAGAACACCAGUGGCGAAGGCGGCUCACUGGCCCGAUACUGACGCUGAGGCACGAAAGCGUGGGGAGCAAACAGG